CUAAACUACCAGCCCCCGUUUGUAACUCAGGCUCUCUGUUAUAAAUUUGUAGUCUCUAGGCCUAAACGGAG
Long non-coding RNA from Etheostoma spectabile (orangethroat darter), 71 nucleotides. RefSeq lists it as uncharacterized. Lineage: Eukaryota; Metazoa; Chordata; Actinopteri; Perciformes; Percidae. The transcript has 3 exons. The record is from RefSeq and is a predicted model, not a curated record.